RNAcentral lists this unclassified non-coding RNA (208 nucleotides) under Hevea brasiliensis (rubber tree). Lineage: Eukaryota; Viridiplantae; Streptophyta; Magnoliopsida; Malpighiales; Euphorbiaceae. The record is from RNAcentral.
UGGCAUUCCUUUGAAAUAAACAUCAUAAUGAUCAGCAUUUAACAAUGUUGUUGAUGCUCCAAAAAUGGUGGGAUCAAGGGCUAGUUCACCAAUCCCUGCUGCAGUUUCUGGAAGAGGAUUCCCUGCACUGUCAAGAAUCAACAGAGUGCAGCCCAUAGCUGGUGUACUAAACGCCGCCAAUGCUUGAGCCUGCAGUAGUGAACCAGAA